AUUUAUUGAAUAAAUUUUUUUUUAUCUGUUCUUAUCAGCUUAAUAUCUGAUACACUCUCCAUUGGAGAGUCAGAAUAUUAAUCUGAUUUUUGGAAAUCGACGGAGCGUUUGGGGCUUGCUCCACCUCUGUCACGAGUCGGCCCGGCAUUGCAGUGCCGCUGGGAUCGGCUCAAUAAGC
Molecule: small nuclear RNA, 178 nt
Filed under: Dufourea novaeangliae
Lineage: Eukaryota; Metazoa; Arthropoda; Insecta; Hymenoptera; Halictidae
Description: U2 spliceosomal RNA
Rfam family: U2 spliceosomal RNA
About the family: U2 is a small nuclear RNA (snRNA) component of the spliceosome (involved in pre-mRNA splicing).
Source: Rfam by way of RNAcentral